CCUACGGGAGGCAGCAGUGGGGAAUUUUGGACAAUGGGCGCAAGCCUGAUCCAGCAAUGCCGCGUGAGUGAAGAAGGCCUUCGGGUUGUAAAGCUCUUUUGUCAGGGAAGAAACGGUGUUUUCUAAUACAGAGCGCUAAUGACGGUACCUGAAGAAUAAGCACCGGCUAACUACGUGCCAGCAGCCGCGGUAAUACGUAGGGUGCAAGCGUUAAUCGGAAUUACUGGGCGUAAAGCGUGCGCAGGCGGUUUUGUAAGUUUGUCGUGAAAUCCCCGGGCUCAACCUGGGAAUGGCGAUGAAGACUGCAAGGCUAGAGUUUGGCAGAGGGGGGUAGAAUUCCACGUGUAGCAGUGAAAUGCGUAGAUAUGUGGAGGAACACCGAUGGCGAAGGCAGCCCCCUGGGUCAAACUGACGCUCAUGCACGAAAGCGUGGGGAGCAAACAGGAUUAGGAUACCCUGGUAGUCCACGCCCUAAACGAUGUCUACUAGUUGUCGGUCUUAAUUGACUUGGUAACGCAGCUACGCGUGAGUAGACGCCGUGGGAGGUACGGUCGCGAGAGUAAACGUACGAAGAAGUAGUAGCGUGAGAGUGACGACGGACGACGACGAGGGAGGAGG
RNAcentral lists this ribosomal RNA (618 nucleotides) under uncultured bacterium. RNAcentral's name for it is "bacterial SSU rRNA". The stretch from base 1 to 538 matches the Rfam family "Bacterial small subunit ribosomal RNA", at positions 338 to 873 of the family's 1533-position model. The record is from RNAcentral.